ACACGGAUAGAGGGGAUGAACAGUUCUGGGAAUACGAGGUUUUACGAUUUCCUCUUCCAAUCACUCUUUAUGUCUUAUUUCCUCUUUUCUUUUCUAAAUCCCUAAUAAAAAACUUUCCCAAUUCCCAUCCCUUUGAUUGUUAAGCCAUUCCAACAUUCGGACUGCAAUUGCCCGAGAAGUGAGAAUGCAAGAUCCAAGGAUGGCACCAUCAGAGGGAGAUUUGAAUCCUAAGACACGGAAAAAGAAAAGCUCCGCUAACAAAGGACCCAUGUUUCCGUCAGAAUGAAACGAGACUAAGGGGGCUCAACAGGUACAGGGAUCCCUAACAUUAAGAAAGGGGAAGAAAACAUC
Molecule: long non-coding RNA, 351 nt
Organism: Hibiscus syriacus
Lineage: Eukaryota; Viridiplantae; Streptophyta; Magnoliopsida; Malvales; Malvaceae
Exons: 2
Source: RefSeq, a predicted model, not a curated record